GCAGCAGUAGGGAAUAUUGGGCAAUGGGCGCAAGCCUGACCCAGCCAUGCCGCGUGAAGGAAGACAGCCUUAUGGGUUGUAAACUUCUUUACUAUGCGAAUAGAGAUUAGUACGAGCUACUAAUAGGAAGGUAGCAUAGCAAAAAGCACCGGCUAACUCCGUGCCAGCAGCCGCGGUAAUACGGAGGGUGCAAGCGUUAUUCGGAAUUACUGGGUUUAAAGGGUGCGUAGGCGGUUAAAUAAGUUGUCAGUGAAAGGCUACGGCUCAACUGUAAUAGUGCUGGCGAUACUGUAUAACUAAGAACAUGGGAGAGGUACCUGGAAUGUGUGGUGUAGCGGUGAAAUGCGUAGAUAUCACACAGAACACCGGAGGCGAAGGCGGGGUACUAGACCAUAGUUGACGCUGAGGCACGAAAGCGUGGGGAUCAAACAGGAUUAGAUACCCUGGUAGUCCACGCCCUAAACGAUGAUCACUAGAUAUUGGCGACAGACAGUCAGUGUCCAAGCGAAAGUGAUAAGUGAUCCACCUGGGGAAUACGGCCGCAAGGUUAAAACUCAAAGGAAUUGACGG
Molecule: ribosomal RNA, 570 nt
Filed under: uncultured Bacteroidota bacterium
Lineage: Bacteria; Pseudomonadati; Bacteroidota
Description: bacterial SSU rRNA
Rfam family: Bacterial small subunit ribosomal RNA
Source: RNAcentral